AUGGCUGUCGUCAGCUCGUGUCGUGAGAUGUUGGGUUAAGUCCCGCAACGAGCGCAACCCUUGUCCUUAGUUGCCAGCACGUAAUGGUGGGAACUCUAAGGAGACUGCCGGUGACAAACCGGAGGAAGGUGGGGAUGACGUCAAGUCAUCAUGGCCCUUACGACCAGGGCUACACACGUACUACAAUGGGGGGUACAGAGGGUAGCGAAGCCGCGAGGUGAAGCCAAUCCCAGAAAACCCCUCUCAGUCCGGAUCGUAGUCUGCAACUCGACUACGUGAAGUCGGAAUCGCUAGUAAUCGCGAAUCAGCAUUGUCGCGGUGAAUACGUUCCCGGGCCUUGUACACACCGCCCGUCACACCAUGGGAGUUGGUUGCUCCAGAAGCAGGUAGUCUAACCGCAAGGGGGACGCUUGCCACGGAGUGGUCAAUGACUGGGGUGAAGUCGUAACAAGGUAGCCGUAUCGGAAGGUGCGGCUGGAUCACCUCCUUUCGAGAACGACAUGGAUUCAUUCCAUGGCGUCCACACAAGACACCUGCAUAUCCAGAAUUAGACGCAAGUCCCAACGGGGGCUGUAGCUCAGCUGGGAGAGCACCUGCUUUGCAAGCGGGGGGUCACCGGUUCGAUCCCGGUCAGCUCCACCAGAUCUAAGAUCUUUGGGUCUGUAGCUCAGGUGGUUAGAGCGCGCCCCUGAUAAGGGCGAGGUCGGUGGUUCGAGUCCUCCCAGACCCACCAAUGUGUUUAUUCUGGAUAACUGCGCACACAUAAAGAAUUUGAAGCGGUCAGGCGUUGAGGCCUGGCUGCGUUCUUUGACAAUUUGGGACGUAACAAGCGUCUGAACUUUCAUCAAGUUUAGAUGUGUCGUUGAGGCAAAUAGGCGAAGUAUGUUGAGCGUGUGAUCCGGAGGCGACUUCGGGUUAUAUGGUCAAGCGAAUAAGCGUCUACGGUGGAUGCCUUGGCGGUCAGAGGCGAAGAAGGACGUGGCAGCCUGCGAAAAGUCUCGGGAAGCUGGCAACAAGCUUUGAUCCGGGAAUGUCCGAAUGGGGAAACCCGG
RNAcentral lists this small RNA (1052 nucleotides) under uncultured Rhodanobacter sp. Its description in RNAcentral is "bacterial SSU rRNA". The stretch from base 1 to 490 matches the Rfam family "Bacterial small subunit ribosomal RNA", at positions 1045 to 1533 of the family's 1533-position model. Lineage: Bacteria; Pseudomonadati; Pseudomonadota; Gammaproteobacteria; Lysobacterales; Rhodanobacteraceae. The record is from RNAcentral.